AGAGUUUGAUCCUGGCUCAGAACGAACGCUGGCGGCAUGCCUAACACAUGCAAGUCGAACGAGAUCUUCGGGUCUAGUGGCGCACGGGUGCGUAACGCGUGGGAAUCUGCCCUUUGGUUCGGAAUAACAGUUGGAAACGACUGCUAAUACCGGAUGAUGACGAAAGUCCAAAGAUUUAUCGCCAGAGGAUGAGCCCGCGUAGGAUUAGCUAGUUGGUGUGGUAAAGGCGCACCAAGGCGACGAUCCUUAGCUGGUCUGAGAGGAUGAUCAGCCACACUGGGACUGAGACACGGCCCAGACUCCUACGGGAGGCAGCAGUGGGGAAUAUUGGACAAUGGGCGAAAGCCUGAUCCAGCAAUGCCGCGUGAGUGAUGAAGGCCUUAGGGUUGUAAAGCUCUUUUACCCGGGAUGAUAAUGACAGUACCGGGAGAAUAAGCUCCGGCUAACUCCGUGCCAGCAGCCGCGGUAAUACGGAGG
This 477-nucleotide ribosomal RNA is filed under the name uncultured bacterium. RNAcentral's name for it is "bacterial SSU rRNA". It matches the Rfam family "Bacterial small subunit ribosomal RNA", at positions 8 to 531 of the family's 1533-position model. The record is from RNAcentral.